UCCCUGGUGGCUCAGAUGGUAAAGAAUCUGCCUGCAGUGCAGAAGACCCAGGUUUGAUCCCUGGAUCGGGAA
RNAcentral lists this transfer RNA (72 nucleotides) under Bos taurus (domestic cattle). It matches the Rfam family "tRNA". From Rfam's summary of the family: Transfer RNA (tRNA) molecules are approximately 80 nucleotides in length. Their secondary structure includes four short double-helical elements and three loops (D, anti-codon, and T loops). RNAcentral also lists the same sequence under 4 other names. The record is from Rfam by way of RNAcentral. Lineage: Eukaryota; Metazoa; Chordata; Mammalia; Artiodactyla; Bovidae.